Molecule: ribosomal RNA, 253 nt
Filed under: uncultured bacterium
Lineage: Bacteria
Description: partial 16S ribosomal RNA
Rfam family: Bacterial small subunit ribosomal RNA
Source: RNAcentral
UACAGAGGGUGCGAGCGUUAAUCGGAAUUACUGGGCGUAAAGGGCGCGUAGGCGGUUAAAUAAGUUGGAUGUGAAAUCCCUGGGCUUAACCUAGGAACUGCAUACAAUACUGUUUAACUGGAGUGCUGUAGAGGGUAGUGGAAUUUCCGGUGUAGCGGUGAAAUGCGUAGAUAUCGGAAGGAACACCAGUGGCGAAGGCGGCUACCUGGACAGACACUGACGCUGAGGCGCGAGAGCGUGGGGAGCAAACAGG